Molecule: ribosomal RNA, 421 nt
Filed under: uncultured bacterium
Lineage: Bacteria
Description: partial 16S ribosomal RNA
Rfam family: Bacterial small subunit ribosomal RNA
Source: RNAcentral
AAUAAUGGACAAUGGGCGAAAGCCUGAUCCAGCCAUCCCGCCUGUGUGAAGAAGGUCUUCGGAUUGUAAAGCCCCUUAAGCCGGGGAGAAGGGCAGUAAGUUAAUACCUUGCUGUGUCGACGUUACCGACAGAAUCAGCCCCGGCUAACUCCGGGCCAGAAGCCGCGGUAAUACGAAGGGUGACAGUGUUAAUGGGAAUUACUGGGCGUAAAGCGCGCGUAGGUGGUUUGUUAAGUUGGGAGUGAAAGCCCCGGGCUCAACCUGGGAACUGCUUUAAAAACUGGCAAGCGAGUGUAUGGCAGAGGGUGGUGGAAUUUCCUGUGUAGCGGUGAAAUGCGUAGAUAUAGGAAGGAACACCAGGGGCGAAGGCGACGACCUGGGCUAAUACUGACACUGAGGUGCGAAAGCGUGGGGAGCAAAC